This 253-nucleotide ribosomal RNA is filed under the name uncultured bacterium. Its description in RNAcentral is "partial 16S ribosomal RNA". It matches the Rfam family "Bacterial small subunit ribosomal RNA", at positions 524 to 776 of the family's 1533-position model. The record is from RNAcentral.
UACGGAGGGGGCAAGCGUUAUUCGGAAUUAUUGGGCCUAAAGCAUCCGUAGCCGGUCUUACAAGUCCUCCGUUAAAUCCAGCUGCUUAACAGAUGGGCUGCGGAGGAUACUAUAAGACUAGGAGGCAGGAGAGGCAAGCGGUACUCAGUGGGUAGGGGUAAAAUCCGUUGAUCCAUUGAAGACCACCAGUGGCGAAGGCGGCUUGCCAGAAUGCGCUCGACGGUGAGGGAUGAAAGCUGGGGGAGCAAACCGG